RNAcentral lists this long non-coding RNA (553 nucleotides) under Homo sapiens (human). Its description in RNAcentral is "tRNA methyltransferase 9B (putative) (ENSG00000284872.2)". The record is from RNAcentral. Lineage: Eukaryota; Metazoa; Chordata; Mammalia; Primates; Hominidae.
UUCAGUAUUGUGUAGUACAGAAAAGAUCACACAUGUAUAUGUCAGAAGUAGAUGCACAUGUUCUUUUGGCUUUUUUUCUUUGUUUUAUUCUUUUUUCAUUUUUUGUGUUUUUUGUUAGUUUGUUUUGAAUUUUUUUUCUUGAUGCAUAUGUUCCUUCAACUUAUUCAGUACUUCCAUGUGCAGGGCUCUGGACUAGACUUUCAGGAUCUAAGGCUGAAUCCUACACAGUCCUCCCUCUGGGAAAGUGAUGAAACCUGUGAGCUCUCCUAGCAACUCUGCAGUCUUCCUUCAAGUUGGUCAGAUUGGUCCGUGUGGAACUCAGAAACAGAAGGCCAACCAUGCAUAACGAGGCAGAACUUUUGGAGAUCCUUGGUGACCUCACUGUUGCUGAAUAAACUUUAGCCCCUCACCUGGUGAUAACACCAAUACCACCUGGUUUUCUUCCAGGGCCUGUGCUUCCUUCAGAGACUCACACAAGAGGUUUAUCAUGAGAAGGACCGCACUAUUUCAUUUCACUCCUACAAGUUUUCAUUUACGUUACACAUUGAGAAAG